Molecule: ribosomal RNA, 827 nt
Filed under: Streptomyces sp. KLBMP 1105
Lineage: Bacteria; Bacillati; Actinomycetota; Actinomycetes; Kitasatosporales; Streptomycetaceae
Description: bacterial SSU rRNA
Rfam family: Bacterial small subunit ribosomal RNA
Source: RNAcentral
GGGGAUUAGUGGCGAACGGGUGAGUAACACGUGGGCAAUCUGCCCUUCACUCUGGGACAAGCCCUGGAAACGGGGUCUAAUACCGGAUAACACUCUUACUCGCAUGUGUGGGGGUUGAAAGCUCCGGCGGUGAAGGAUGAGCCCGCGGCCUAUCAGCUUGUUGGUGAGGUAGUGGCUCACCAAGGCGACGACGGGUAGCCGGCCUGAGAGGGCGACCGGCCACACUGGGACUGAGACACGGCCCACACUCCUACGGGAGGCAGCAGUGGGGAAUAUUGCACAAUGGGCGAAAGCCUGAUGCAGCGACGCCGCGUGAGGGAUGACGGCCUUCGGGUUGUAAACCUCUUUCAGCAGGGAAGAAGCGAAAGUGACGGUACCUGCAGAAGAAGCGCCGGCUAACUACGUGCCAGCACCCGCGGUAAUACGUAGGGCGCAAGCGUUGUCCGGAAUUAUUGGGCGUAAAGAGCUCGUAGGCGGUCUGUCACGUCGGAUGUGAAAGCCCGGGGCUUAACCCCGGGUCUGCAUUCGAUACGGGCAGACUAGAGUGUGGUAGGGGAGAUCGGAAUUCCUGGUGUAGCGGUGAAAUGCGCAGAUAUCAGGAGGAACACCGGUGGCGAAAGCGGAUCUCUGGGCCAUUACUGACGCUGAGGAGCGAAAGCGUGUGGAGCGAACAGGAUUAGAUACCCUGGUAGUCCACGCCGUAAACGGUGGGAACUAUGUGUUGGCGACAUUCCACGUCGUCAGUGCCGCUCUAACGCAUUAAGUUCCCCGCCUGGGAGUACGGCCGCAAGGCUAAACUCACAGGAAUUGACGGGGGCCCGCACAGC